This 240-nucleotide unclassified non-coding RNA is filed under the name Hevea brasiliensis (rubber tree). Lineage: Eukaryota; Viridiplantae; Streptophyta; Magnoliopsida; Malpighiales; Euphorbiaceae. The record is from RNAcentral.
ACAACCAAUCAUUCACCACCACACGCUAUGUACUCAUGGAAGAACCAGGCCGCCACACCUACACAGGACCAAAUCUCAUCGACCAUAAAAAAUAAACAAGAAAAAGCUUCAUAUGGAGGAAAGCACGAGUAGUAUCAUAUCCACUUCCUGAUUAAAAAGCUUUCCAGUCAUCAGAACUUUUUUUUGGAGUUUCCCUCUCUACUGAUGUCUUAAAUAGCCCAGUAGAGCCAAAUGGAUCAG